This 274-nucleotide ribosomal RNA is filed under the name uncultured bacterium. RNAcentral's name for it is "partial 16S ribosomal RNA". It matches the Rfam family "Bacterial small subunit ribosomal RNA", at positions 523 to 796 of the family's 1533-position model. The record is from RNAcentral.
AUACGGAGGGUGCAAACGUUGUUCGGAAUUACUGGGCGUAAAGCGCGCGUAGGCGGUUUGUUAAGUCAGAUGUGAAAGCCCAAGGCUCAACCUUGGACGUGCAUUUGAAACUGGCAGACUUGAGUACUGGAGGGGAUGGUGGAAUUCCCGGUGUAGAGGAGAAAUUCGUAGAUAUCGGGAGGAAUACCGGUGGCGAAGGCGACCAUCUGGCCAGAUACUGACGCUGAGGUGCGAAAGCAUGGGGAGCAAACAGGAUUAGAAACCCUAGUAGUCC